GGGUUUUGAAAGAUGUUGCUGCAUUCUCUUCAAUAACAGAAAGGAAUGAGCCAUGACAUUUUUUUUUAAUGAAAAUGCUGAUCUGUUCUUUAUCUUCACAGAGCUAAAUGAAAAGUUUCAAAGACUGACUUGGUUGAAUACAUUUAUCGUUUAAGCUUGUGGAAUGCAGAGUUGUGAACAGUUUGAUAUCUUUCUUCAUGUUUAGUUUGAUUUUUUAAAAGCAGGGGAGAGCUCAUCCCACUUAGUAUUUCAUCUUUUCCUGGGUCUUCACUAAACUGUGUUAGAUGGUUUCAUAUGGUAAGAAAACUGGUGUUGAGCAGUGUAACAUGUCUGCUAGGGAUGUUUGUAAUGAUCCCCCCCCCUUUUUUUUUUGCCUGAAUGGAAGCAGUGAUUCCUGUGGUUUUUUUUCUUUUUCUUUUUCUCUUAAGGUUUUCCAGUCCAUUCCUAUUUUUUUUCUUUUUUCUUUUUUCUUUUUUUUUAAUGGAUGAAAAUGUAGUAGAGGAACAACCCCUUCUUCCAGCUCUCUGUCACUGCACAAGAAAAAUGCGGUUAUUCUCUCUGUCUUAACCAGAAAGGCAGUGAAAGCUACUGUUGUUGUGUUAAAAUCAAGGGGGAUGUGAAUACCUCCGGUUGGAUUUGACACUGGUAUCUCCAGAGCUCUCUGAAUCCUUAUCUCCAUAAUCUCCUACGGAGCUUCAAGAUAUAAACUUCUUAUUUAGACAUCAUAUGCGUUAACUGAAGUAAAAGCAUCCUCGUCUGAGAAGAUAUAUGGGUAAUUUUUGAUCUUCACUUAGCUUGCAGUCAUAGGUCUAUGAAAUGACUGAAAUGCAGUAAGAAUGGAGGCUGUUCCAAAUAUGUAUCCUGAAGGUGUAAGCUGUGAUGCAGCAUUUGCUUGAAUAUGCAUGAGACCUUUUCAUACGCAGUGGGUCAGAAUAUUUUUUUCCCUUGAGAUUAUGUCUUUGACUCAUCCUGAUGAAAAAAGAACAUCCCUUUCAAAUUCAUUGACUUUUACAUUAGCCAUAAUUUGAGAUUGCCUCUGUGGAGAUGAGUUGCCUUGGGGAGUCAAGAAUGUUUGAAAGAGAGAAUUUAAUGUGAAGAGGGAUUGCCACAGCUGCAGUCCUUUCUUCUGCAAGAGGUGUUUUAAAGUUGAUUUCACUGUAGGGUGAAGAUAAAACCUUUUCACUGUUCAUUAACCUUUAUUUUGGGGUGUUUCUGUUAAUAAGUUAUCUUUCUUGCUUUUGUUUUUAUUAUUUCUGUACUUUAUUCUUUGUAUUUUUUUCCUGCUGCAAAUGUCUAUAUUGUCUUGUCAUCUGCUAUUUGCUGUUAGUUUUGGUUGCAUUUCAGUGUUAUUUUUUAGAUGUAUUUUUUAGUGGAAGAAUAAAUCAUAUCAUGUUAUUUUGAAUGAACUUAUUUAAUGAAUGUAAAAUGUUUGAAUGAUCCCUUGUAUCUCUGAAUGCAUUGUCACUGAAUUACAUUGCCUUUCACAGAAACUUACAGCUAAUCAGUUUAUAACACAUAUAUUUAUGCUCUAUUUCUAGGUAUCUGUAGUUUAUUUUUAAUUCUUUUGUAAUUACAGACCUUGAUACUAUGACAUAAUCUGCUUGUCUUUGUUAGAAGCAGAAGAAAGAAUAUCACCUGUAGUCACUUCCAAAAGCAGAGUCAGUUAAAGUCAAUUGGUUCUAUUAUCACUGUGCUCUUCACAUUCAUAUGCCUCAAACUGGACAGAAGCCCUUUAAAUUUAUCUGCUGUAUCGAGGCAAUCAAAAGACAAGGAAUGGCAGUCACUGAGAAUGCAUUGCUUUGGAUCUCAGUAUCAGUAUUUGACUUAAGAAAUACAGUGAGCCAUUCAACCCAAGGAGGGAUACUUCUGCUUUUAAUCAGCAGUUUUAGAAUGGCAUUAUUAACUUUUCUUUUAACUUGUUUUAUUAAUUAAAUAUUAUAACUGUAUAGUGAAUAGAUACAGGGAAGAAUGCAAAGAGUAUUUGAUGAAGCCUGACAAAGGAGAGAAUGUUCUAACUUUUUCAGAAUAAGAAAAAUAUACAGCUUUCCAUCAGAUUUCUUAGAUUUGAUGUUGAGACUCUAAUGUGAUCCAAAGCAGACAGCUCCUUUCUUUUAAAUGGUAAAACGUUAUCACUUAGAGAGCAAAUAACAGAGCAAAACUGUUAGGUGAUAAUAGAUGGUAGGCUAUAUACAUUGUUUUGUACUUAUCAAUGUAUAAGAACAUGUGAGUUAGGUGAUAGGCUUUUGAGUACAAAUGUGAAUUAUUAUUUUUGUGUAAAUACAAGAAAUGUGUCAUUCAAUAGGAGAAUGGAAUUAAGAACAUGAAACUUUGAUGUUAUAAGAUGGCUGGAUUGACUAUAUAGAUAUAGUUCAAAAUUUCUGUAUCUAGACAUAAACUUAGAUUGUGGCAGAACAUUCUUUACUGUUAGACUGCACAGGAUUUUAUAGGAAGGAUGUCUUGAAGGAUAGUGA
Molecule: long non-coding RNA, 2471 nt
Organism: Gallus gallus (chicken)
Lineage: Eukaryota; Metazoa; Chordata; Aves; Galliformes; Phasianidae
Source: Ensembl